GACAGAGGGUGCGAACGUUGUUCGGAAUUACUGGGCGUAAAGCGCAUGUAGGCGGCAGCGCAAGUCGGGCGUGAAAUCCCACGGCUCAACCGUGGAAGUGCACUCGAAACUGCGCAGCUAGAGUCCUGGAGAGGAAGGUGGAAUGCUUGGUGUAGAGGUGAAAUUCGUAGAUAUCAAGCGGAACACCGGUGGCGAAGGCGGCCUUCUGGACAGUGACUGACGCUGAGAUGCGAAAGCGGUGGGGAGCAAACAGGG
Molecule: ribosomal RNA, 255 nt
Filed under: uncultured bacterium
Lineage: Bacteria
Description: partial 16S ribosomal RNA
Rfam family: Bacterial small subunit ribosomal RNA
Source: RNAcentral